CUCAUUAAAAAAAAAAAACAAAGCAACCGGUGUUUCUAGGCAUCUGCAACUAUCGUUUCUCUUCGAUCAAAUUUGGGAAAGUGGGUGAUUGUAUCAUCACCAAAUUGGUUAUUCUAUUUCACAUAACAUGUGAUGCUUAACAUGUUGCGCAUAUCUUACAAGUUAAGAACAAAAUUGAUACUGUUUGCAGGAGUUUCGGUUGCAUUUUCUAUGAAUUGAAUAGGUAUUCCAAUCUCGUGCUAUUUGCUUCGAUUCGCGUGUGUGUCGCUAUCCUCAUUAGGAAAACCGAACAUUACAUCGUGGGAAACCCUGCAUCAUACGAGAGGAAAGAUGACGGGCGGAGUGUGCAUCCUUCUUCUCUCUCCUUCCGCUACCUUUGCGGGAUGCUGCGACCAAUCGAAACGCUACUAGCGUGAACCAAAAUACCAGGCGUCGUAACAGGAGAUCAUCCAAAUCAGGAGUGUGUUAUUAUGCUCUUGCAUGAUGUGAAAUGAUGUCCCCUGCGAGCAGUUUUUUGUUGUUGUUAGCAAACAAACUGUCCAACUAAAAGUACGCAGCCAGUGCGAACAGCCAAGGCGAUCUGAUGCGCAAGCUGCACGUGUAGCCGCGCAAGCCGCGAGCAAAAGCUGGUACACGUUGGUGCGCAUACGCGCAAGCAGUUGCGCGAUAAGCUUCCCGGCAUUGUUUGCUUGCUUAGAUACGUUGGUUUUUUUUUUAUUUUUCAUUCAAAUGCUAGUUGCGCUUUUGCACCGAAAAAAUCUCGAAAAUGGAAAAUGGAAACCGAAAGGAUCGAAACAAGGGAAAUUUUAACAUGAAACUCUCUUCGGAUACGGAUCCGGUGGGAUUAAUGAAAGGGGCAUAACAUGUUUCGUUGGACGUCUAUCAUCCUCUCAGGCCGCAGGGACAACCAACGCCCUGGCAACGUACCUGGUGUGAUCGCAGUGUACCGAAGUUGUCACGGCCUCGGUAAUUGUCGCGUGCAUUGUUGUAGUUGUCCGGCUGGAACUGCAAGAAACGGAAAGGGAGCGCGUGUUUUAGUAGAGUACGCAACCAUUUUCAACACGCACGGCACGACCCGACAUCCUUACCUGGAAC
This is a long non-coding RNA of Anopheles merus, 1095 nucleotides long. RefSeq lists it as uncharacterized. The transcript is spliced from 3 exons. NCBI's taxonomy places the organism in Eukaryota, Metazoa, Arthropoda, Insecta, Diptera, Culicidae. The record is from RefSeq and is a predicted model, not a curated record.